AUUGAACGCUGGCGGUAGGCCUAACACAUGCAAGUCGAACGGCAGCACAGUAAGAGCUUGCUCUUACGGGUGGCGAGUGGCGGACGGGUGAUGAAUACAUCGGAAUCUACUUUUUCGUGGGGGCUAACGUAGGGACACUUACGCUAAUACCGCAUACGACCUACGGGUGAAAGCAGGGGAUCUUCGGACCUUGCGCGAUUGAAUGAGCCGAUGUCGGAUUAGCUAGUUGGCGGGGUAAAGGCCCACCAAGGCGACGAUCCGUAGCUGGUCUGAGAGGAUGAUCAGCCACACUGGAACUGAGACACGGUCCAGACUCCUACGGGAGGCAGCAGUGGGGAAUAUUGGACAAUGGGCGCAAGCCUGAUCCAGCCAUACCGCGUGGGUGAAGAAGGCCUUCGGGUUGUAAAGCCCUUUUGUUGGGAAAGAAAAGCAGCAGGUUAAUACCCCGCUGUUCUGACAGUACCCAAAGAAUAAGCACCGGCUAACUUCGUG
RNAcentral lists this ribosomal RNA (492 nucleotides) under uncultured bacterium. Its description in RNAcentral is "partial 16S ribosomal RNA". It matches the Rfam family "Bacterial small subunit ribosomal RNA", at positions 30 to 507 of the family's 1533-position model. The record is from RNAcentral.